GACGAACGCUGGCGGCGUGCUUAACACAUGCAAGUCGAACGGAAAGGCCCUGCUUUUGUGGGGUGCUCGAGUGGCGAACGGGUUAGUAACACGUGAGUAACCUGCCCUUGACUUUGGGAUAACUUCAGGAAACUGGGGCUAAUACCGGAUAGUAUCUCCUGCUGCAUGGUGGGGGUUGGAAAGUUUCGGCGGUUGGGUAUGGACUCGCGGCUUAUCAGCUUGUUGGUGGGGUAGUGGCUUACCAAGGCUUUGACGGGUAGCCGGCCUGAGAGGGUGACCGGCCACAUUGGGACUGAGAUACGGCCCAGACUCCUACGGGAGGCAGCAGUGGGGAAUAUUGCACAAUGGGCGGAAGCCUGAUGCAGCAAAGCAGCGUGCGGGAUGACGGCCUUCGGGUUGUAAACCGCUUUCGCCUGGGACGAAGCGUGAGUGACGGUAAUGGGUAAAGAAGCACCGGCUAACUACGUG
RNAcentral lists this ribosomal RNA (468 nucleotides) under uncultured bacterium. RNAcentral describes it as "partial 16S ribosomal RNA". It matches the Rfam family "Bacterial small subunit ribosomal RNA", at positions 28 to 507 of the family's 1533-position model. The record is from RNAcentral.